AUACGUAGGUGACAAGCGUUAUCCGGAUUUACUGGGCGUAAAGGGCGUGUAGGCGGUCUUGCAAGUCAGAAGUGAAAUUCCUGAGCUCAACUCGGGCGCUGCUUCUGAAACUGCAGGACUUGAGUGCUGGAGGGGAUAGCGGAAUUCCUAGUGGAGCGGUAAAAUGCGCAGAUAUUAGGAAGAACACCGGUGGCGAAGGCGGCUUUCUGGACCGUAAAGGACGCUGAGGCGCGAAAGCGUGGGGAGAAAACCGGAUUGGAUACCCUGGUACCCCACGCCGUAAACGAUGAAUACUAGGUGUAGGGGGUAUCGACUCCCUCUGUGCCGCAGUUCACACAAUAAGUAUUCCGCCUGGGGAGUACGGCCGCAAGGUUGCAACUCACAUGAACUGACGGGG
RNAcentral lists this ribosomal RNA (397 nucleotides) under uncultured bacterium. RNAcentral describes it as "partial 16S ribosomal RNA". It matches the Rfam family "Bacterial small subunit ribosomal RNA", at positions 523 to 918 of the family's 1533-position model. The record is from RNAcentral.